RNAcentral lists this ribosomal RNA (486 nucleotides) under uncultured bacterium. Its description in RNAcentral is "bacterial SSU rRNA". It matches the Rfam family "Bacterial small subunit ribosomal RNA", at positions 28 to 541 of the family's 1533-position model. The record is from RNAcentral.
GAUGAACGCUGGCGGCGUGCCUAACACAUGCAAGUCGAGCGAUCUUCUUCGGAAGAGAGCGGCGGACGGGUGAGUAACGCGUGGGUAACCUGCCUCAUACACAUGGAUAACAUACCGAAAGGUAUGCUAAUACAAGAUGAUAUAAGAGAUUCGCAUGGAUUUCUUAUCAAAGCUCCGGCGGUAUGAGAUGGACCCGCGUCUGAUUAGCUAGUUGGUAAGGUAACGGCUUACCAAGGCGACGAUCAGUAGCCGACCUGAGAGGGUGAUCGGCCACAUUGGAACUGAGACACGGUCCAAACUCCUACGGGAGGCAGCAGUGGGGAAUAUUGCACAAUGGGCGAAAGCCUGAUGCAGCAACGCCGCGUAAGCGAUGAAGGCCUUCGGGUCGUAAAGCUCUGUCCUCAAGGAAGAUAAUGACGGUACUUGAGGAGGAAGCCCCGGCUAACUACGUGCCAGCAGCCGCGGUAAUACGUAGGGGGCUAGCGU